UGGCCUCCACAACAUCAGGCAGCCAGGGAGAUGCAAACAUGUCUGCUAUGGAUGCUGACAAUGAGACCCCCCUCUUCCCUGCCAGGGUCUCUUAGAGCACACUCGAGAAAGGCCAUCUGUCACCCACGAGGCUGUUGACCGAAAGAGGUUGAAGAGAGAUGUGGAGCCCAGCUGCAGAGGGACCAGCCUUGUGCCUGACUAGGGCUUGGCCCAGAACCCCCAAGUUCAUCAUUCACAAUGAUGCCUCAGAAAGCCUCCCAGAGCCCCUCCACCCUCCAACAGAUGUCACCUUAAAGCCAGACACAGAAGCUGUGCAGAGCAAGCACAGCAACACCGGCCCCACGUCUCUCAGAAAGGUCAUCCUGUCAGCACUGGGGGCCCAAGAACUCCUCAACUCGCUGCACUCCUACUGCUUCUGCUCCCGGGGGAACAGGAGCACGUGUGCCACCUGUGGGAGCAGGUGGAGAAGAAUGGCGAGCUGAAGAGGGGCAGCUGCCGACAGCCAGGUGCACACGCUGCAGGAGGAGCUGGACGAGCUGAAGGGAGGGGGCUCCCUGCCUUAGCAGCCUGCUGCCCCCCGCCGAGCGCCAGUUGCAGAGCUCCAGCCAGCAGCAGAAGCAGAGCAGUGGGCAGUGGUGGAGGUAGAGCUGGCUCCAGCUUCCUUGACACCACCCUCUCUAGCACUGGAGCCAGUGUCCCCUCCACCAGCAGUGUUGGAGCUGGAGCAAGGGCCGACAUCGGCUGCAGCAGGAGUGGGAGCUGCUGAGCUGGAGUCACCUGGACCAUCAUUUCUAGUGGGAAGUCCAUCUCCACCUGUGGCUAAGAAGCAUGAGAAGAAGCCCAACCUACGGCCUUCCCUCCUAAGCUGGUGGUGGAGCAGUUGACCGUGAUGGAUGCGGAGUGUGAGAUCCUGAAGAACUUCUCCUCGCCCCGCACUGUCAUCUCUUCUCUGCAGAAAACAUCCAUAUGCCACCUGAAGAACACAUGGAGGAAGUUUCCUGGGAGAGCUCUGAAAAAUUUAAAGAGAGCUAUAGCCAAGACGAGUCCUUGAACAGAGAACUGAUGACCAAGGUUAACAAGCAGAGGGAUCUGUUCUGCCCAUGGGCAGGUGGGGUGCCAUUUUUGGGCAGGAGGCCUUGGUCAUGGGACACAGUGGUGUUGGCUGGGCUGUUCCAGGACGAGUUGCCGAGCUGGCGCCAUCAGCAGGUCUCUGGCUUCCACUCACGUCCAUCCUGCUGGAUGUAGCUUCUUCCAGGCUGUUGGGUGGUUGGGUGGGUUUAUCCCUCAGCCUAAACCUGUCCUCAGGAAGCCAGGCCCCUGCUGCUCCUUCUAUCUUCACCAUGUCUCCAAGGGGAGGGCACACUGCCUACCCCAGGGACGGGCACAACAGGGGAUUCCCCUGGCACAGGUGGACAAACAGGCUGCUCAUCCUUGGAUCUGAACAACUGACCAGAGACAGAUGUGUGUGCAUUGUGGGACUCCCCACUGGACCCCUAGAGCAGUCACUUGAGUCAACCACAGGAGUCUCACCUGAGUGCCUGGUUGGCAAUGAUAUAGGCCCCAGGUGGCUUAUGAGUAGCGUCUAGGCAACUGAUGGAUUCUUAGUGGAUCCUGCUGAAAGGACGUUAAGAGCUUCAUGUAAACGGGGAAGCAAGGCAUCCUGUCACCCCCUUCCCUGUUGAUCAGAGGUGGCACCUUGUGGGUCCAGUUCCUGAGUGGAUAAAGAAAGAGUUCAGUGCAGGCGAAUAUCCUGAGUUGUUCUUUGGGGAGGAGAAGGGUUUGGCAUUGCCUCUGUCCGGCAUGGGGGAGAGACACUCCAGGGGACUGGGGCAGGCAGGAGCCACUCAACAACCAGACUCCCAAGACACCCCAUCCUCUCGAUCCACGGCUCGGCCCAGGGCCAAGCUUUGAGAGCUCAGGGGACAAGACUGUUGUCAGUGGUGGGGCUGGGGGUUAGGCAAGGAUGUUGGAACAGGGCCUCUGGCUGAGAGGGGCAAGCGGCCUCUCCUCUGUUGGCCCCUCAGCAACUCACUGCCCCUGUUUGGUCCUCUGUCUCCCCAUCAGGGAAAUGGAGGUAUGGUGAUUGUGUGGUGAUUGUGUGGUGCAGGCCUCACAGGGUGGUAAUGAGGAGGGGCCCUCCACGUUUGCCCCCCGGAGGGCAACCCCCAGAGAGUGCAGGAGAAGCAGCAGCAGCAGCAGGGUGUUGUCCCCUAUCUUGGCACUUUCCUCGGUGAACUGCUGAUGCUGCACCUGGCGAUGGGUGAUUAUCUCGAAGUGGAUAAAUCUGAGGACCAAGCAGGAAGGACCAGGAUCCUGAGCCUGGGGAUGCGUGAGCCCCCGCACUGAGCUCUGAGCUCUCAGCACUUGGCACAUCUCCUCUCGUGAGAGCCUCACAGCCGCCCCUGGGAGCUGGGGCAUCAGGCCCAUCUUAGGGAUGAGUGAACAGAGGCUCCGCCUGAGACAUUCAUUCUCGUUCCUCAGGCUGGGGAAGCUCAGAGCUGCCUGAUGGCACAGCUGCGUGAGGUUUUAUCUGAGCUGGACUCUGCCUGUCCCUCCCAUGCUGCCCGUGGAGGGAGAGAGCAGUCGCCCCCCCCCAAGUCAGGCAGCACAUAAGUGGCUGAGCAGUCCCCUCUGCCUGAGGCCUCAGCCUCCAAGUCUGUCAUCAGAGAGGGUUGUGCUGCCAGGUCCCUCAGCCUCCCCCCAUGUCCUACUACUCUGGAGCCCAGAGCCCAUCCUAGGUCCAAGUCCUGUUUUCUCUGCAUGCCCCGCCCCCUCUGGGGACCUGGCAGUAGUGCCACAUGAGAAGGGCAGGGCAUAGGGGGCUAGUCAGGCUAGGGGGCUCUGUCUGAUGGACUCUGGCUGUCUGCCUUCCAGGGGAAUGAGAUCAACCUUGAGAAGAGGACUGAGGAGCAGCUGUGGCACUCCUUGCAGGGGAGGGGAAGGAGGUGGAAAUCAGAGACCCUCUGGGGAGAACAGUUUCUGGCUCCACCCCUUGUAUCUUACAUUGAGUGGAAGAUUUUGGUAGAAGUCGAGACCCAUCCAGUUGGCGCGUGGGUUGAAGGGAGGAUGGCAUCAAGGAAAACUUCUUGGAGGAGGGGCUGAUUAUUCCCAUUCUGAGAACAGAACACCGAGUCAUGAGGGAGAUCCUGCUGCUCCAGGUCGCUGCAAAGAAUUAUAAAAAGACCCCAAGGAGUGAUUUGGGGCCUGGUUCCAGGACAUGGAGCUGCUCAACGAGAAUGAGUCAAACACCAAGGGUAGAGGUCAUCAAAAGAUCAAGUCUAAUCUACCUACGGGUGUGGCAGCCUUAACUAUGGAUGUUCAAGCCAGACAUUGCCAGAAGAACUACAUCUCUUCACCCAUAGAAGAUGCAACCUACAGCUGAAGAGAAACAGAUACAACACCAAUAUCUUAUCCUCUCUGAAGCCAAACUGAGAGCCCCUGGAGUCAGAAGUUUCCAAGAAAAGAAAAAGUCAUCCAUCUUCGGAAGAGAGACAGUAGAGCACGGACUGUAGGAGAAAGCCCAGAGGAGCAAUGAAGACAAAGAAGACAUGACACCUGCAAAAAGUCAGUGGAGUAUUUCUACGUAACAAACCUUCCAGGUGAGUGACGGUCAGUAUCUUCCACUGAUCCAGCUCUCACAAUAAACCUAGAACAUGCCCAAGGUAAGCUGGAGGACUACGCCCCACUAGUCCAUUCCCUGCCCAGGGCCUGUUUGUGCAGGGUGACUGCCAUCAAGCAGACAAUGGACUCAGGAUGGAGCAUGUGCCUUUGGGGAGGCUGGUAGAGAGGGACAAAGUGGAACACCAGCUAAGUGCACACACCUGAGAGGUGGAGUUCCAGGAGGAGACUCAAAAUGUACCAAGAAACUGCGUGAAGGGAGCUACUCGACCUCUCUGAGCCUCAGUGUCCCCCCCUGUAAAAUGGGGAUGACAGGCCUACUUCACAGACCUGUUGGGGAAGAUACAUAAAAGUGCCUGUGACAGCCAGUGUCCAUAUUAUUAACAAAGCCGUCUCCGACUUCAGAAUAAUCAAUGAAAAGAAUAAUGUUGAUGAGACCAAAGACGAGAUGCUCAGCUUCAUAACAGCCCCAGCAGCAUGAGAGUGAGAGGAGCUCCGAGUAAGCAAGGUUCUUCACAGCUCCACUAGAGAGGAUGAACAUGGGCUACACCAGGAUAAGUGGCUGUUGUACAGUGACUCGUGUAGUGAGGGUGGGUCCCUAAAGACACUGAAAUC
Diceros bicornis minor is the source of this 4233-nucleotide RNA transcript. It is a transcript of the gene named ral-GDS-related protein-like, with no coding region annotated. Lineage: Eukaryota; Metazoa; Chordata; Mammalia; Perissodactyla; Rhinocerotidae. The transcript is spliced from 12 exons. The record is from RefSeq and is a predicted model, not a curated record.